CCACUUCUUACUUUUCGUGGAGGCUGUACUCAGAGUGGAGGGAUCAAUCCCUCCUGAACCUGAGAUCCUGGAAUCCUGAGUCUGAGCAUCCUCCUGAGAAUCUCCCAUACCUUCUUCAGGUACUCUGACUCCCAUACUGACAUCCCUUCUCUGAACAUCCGACUCUACUUCUCUCAUACUAGCUGACAUCCUUCUUGGAGCCAUUGCUUCUGUGCUUACAUCAAAAGACCUUCCAGGGUCCCUUGAUGUUCCCCAUCUGCUGACUCCC
RNAcentral lists this long non-coding RNA (268 nucleotides) under Manihot esculenta (cassava). RNAcentral's name for it is "long non-coding RNA (MESC_LNC004863)". The record is from RNAcentral. Lineage: Eukaryota; Viridiplantae; Streptophyta; Magnoliopsida; Malpighiales; Euphorbiaceae.